RNAcentral lists this ribosomal RNA (119 nucleotides) under Triticum aestivum (bread wheat). Lineage: Eukaryota; Viridiplantae; Streptophyta; Magnoliopsida; Poales; Poaceae. The record is from RNAcentral.
GGAUGCGAUCAUACCAGCACUAAAGCACCGGAUCCCAUCAGAACUCCAAAGUUAAGUGUGCUUGGGCGAGAGUAGUACUAGGAUGCGUGACCUCCUGGGAAGUCCUCGUGUUGCAUUCC